RNAcentral lists this ribosomal RNA (253 nucleotides) under uncultured bacterium. RNAcentral describes it as "partial 16S ribosomal RNA". It matches the Rfam family "Bacterial small subunit ribosomal RNA", at positions 524 to 776 of the family's 1533-position model. The record is from RNAcentral.
UACGGGGGGAGCAAGCGUUGUUCGGAUUUACUGGGCGUAAAGGGUCCGUAGGCGGUUCGGUUAGUCAAAUGUGAAAGCCCACAGCUCAACUGUGGAACUGCAUUUGAAACUGCCGAGCUAGAGUGUGAGAGGGGUGAAGGGAAUUCCCGGUGUAAGGGUGAAAUCUGCAGAGAUCGGGAGGAACACCAGUCGCGAAGGCGCUUCACUGGCUCACUACUGACGCUCAGGGACGAAAGCUAGGGUAGCAAACGGG